UACAGAGGGGGCAAGCGUUGUCCGGAUUCAUUGGGCGUAAAGAGCGUGUAGGCGGCCAGGUAGGUCGGUUGUGAAAACUCGAGGCUCAACCUCGAGAUGUCGAUGGAAACCGUCUGGCUAGAGUCCGGAAGAGGAGUGUGGAAUUCCUGGUGUAGCGGUGAAAUGCGCAGAUAUCAGGAAGAACACCUAUGGCGAAGGCAGCACUCUGGGACGGUACUGACGCUGAGACGCGAAAGCGUGGGGAGCGAACAGG
This 253-nucleotide ribosomal RNA is filed under the name uncultured bacterium. Its description in RNAcentral is "partial 16S ribosomal RNA". It matches the Rfam family "Bacterial small subunit ribosomal RNA", at positions 524 to 776 of the family's 1533-position model. The record is from RNAcentral.